GACGAACGCUGGCGGCGUGCUUAACACAUGCAAGUCGAACGGAAAGGCCUCUUUCGGGGGGUACUCGAGUGGCGAACGGGUGAGUAACACGUGAGUAACCUGCCCUUGACUUUGGGAUAACUUCAGGAAACUGGGGCUAAUACCGGAUAGGAGCUCCUGCUGCAUGGUGGGGGUUGGAAAGUUUCGGCGGUUGGGGAUGGACUCGCGGCGUAUCAGCUGGUUGGUGGGGUAGUGGCUUACCAAGGCUUUGACGGGUAGCCGGCCUGAGAGGGUGACCGGCCACAUUGGGACUGAGAUACGGCCCAGACUCCUACGGGAGGCAGCAGUGGGGAAUAUUGCACAAUGGGUGGAAGCCUGAUGCAGCAACGCCGUGUGCGGGAUGACGGCCUUCGGGUUGUAAACCGCUUUCGCUCAUGACGAAGCUUUGUGUGACGGUAGUGGGUAAAGAAGCACCGGCUAACUACGUG
Molecule: ribosomal RNA, 467 nt
Filed under: uncultured bacterium
Lineage: Bacteria
Description: partial 16S ribosomal RNA
Rfam family: Bacterial small subunit ribosomal RNA
Source: RNAcentral